AUACGUAGGGGGCGAGCGUUGUCCGGAAUGAUUGGGCGUAAAGGGCGCGUAGGCGGCGCGGUAAGUCUGGAGUGAAAGUCCUGCUUUCAAGGUGGGAAUUGCUUUGGAUACUGCCGCGCUUGAGUGCAGGAGAGGUUAUCGGAAUUCCCGGUGUAGCGGUGAAAUGCGUAGAGAUCGGGAGGAGCACCAGUGGCGAAGGCGGGUAACUGGACUGCAACUGACGCUGAGGCGCGAAAGUGUGGGGAGCAAACAGGAUUAGAUACCCUGGUAGUCCACACUGUAAACGAUGAAUGCUAGGUGUAAGAGGUAUCGACCCCUUUUGUGCCGGAGUCAACACAAUAAGCAUUCCGCCUGGGGAGUACGGCCGCAAGGUUGAAACUCAAAUGAAUUGGCGGGG
This 397-nucleotide ribosomal RNA is filed under the name uncultured bacterium. RNAcentral's name for it is "partial 16S ribosomal RNA". It matches the Rfam family "Bacterial small subunit ribosomal RNA", at positions 523 to 918 of the family's 1533-position model. The record is from RNAcentral.